ACCCGCUGAACUUAAGCAUAUCAAUAAGCGGAGGAAAAGAAACCAACAGGGAUUGCCCCAGUAACGGCGAGUGAAGCGGCAACAGCUCAAAUUUGAAAUCUGGCCCCCCGGCCCGAGUUGUAAUUUGGAGAGGAUGCUUUUGGCACGGCGCCGUCCGAGUUCCUUGGAACAGGACGCCACAGAGGGUGAGAGCCCCGUACGGACGGACGCCUAGCCUCUACAAAGCUCCUUCGACGAGUCGAGUAGUUUGGGAAUGCUGCUCAAAAUGGGAGGUAAAUUUCUUCUAAAGCUAAAUACCGGCCAGAGACCGAUAGCGCACAAGUAGAGUGAUCGAAAGAUGAAAAGCACUUUGAAAAGAGGGUUAAAAAGUACGUGAAAUUGUUGAAAGGGAAGCGCCUGUGACCAGACUUGCGCCCCGUGGACCAUCCGGCGUUCUCGCCGGUGCACUCCGCGGGGCGCAGGCCAGCAUCGGUUCUCCUAGGGGGAUAAAGGCCGCGGGAACGUAGCUCCUUCGGGAGUGUUAUAGCCCGUGGUGGCAUGCCCCUGGGGGGACCGAGGACCGCGCUUCGGCAAGGAUGCUGGCGUAAUGGUCACCAGCGACCCGUCUUGAAACACGGACCAAGGAGUCAAGCAUUGGGGCGAGUGUAUGGGUGCCAAACCCGCACGCGAAAUGAAAGUAAACGCAGGUGAGAGCUUCGGCGCAUCAUCGACCGAUCCUGAUGUCUUCGGAUGGAUUUGAGUAAGAGCCUUACCGCUUGGACCCGAAAGAUGGUGAACUAUGCCUGAAUAGGGUGAAGCCAGAGGAAACUCUGGUGGAGGCUCGCAGCGGUUCUGACGUGCAAAUCGAUCGUCAAA
Molecule: ribosomal RNA, 855 nt
Filed under: fungal sp. mh1485.1
Lineage: Eukaryota; Fungi
Description: eukaryotic LSU rRNA
Rfam family: Eukaryotic large subunit ribosomal RNA
Source: RNAcentral